RNAcentral lists this ribosomal RNA (1148 nucleotides) under Citrobacter portucalensis. Its description in RNAcentral is "partial 23S ribosomal RNA". It matches the Rfam family "Bacterial large subunit ribosomal RNA", at positions 1729 to 2852 of the family's 2925-position model. The record is from RNAcentral. Lineage: Bacteria; Pseudomonadati; Pseudomonadota; Gammaproteobacteria; Enterobacterales; Enterobacteriaceae.
CGUAACUUCGGGAGAAGGCACGCUGAUAUGUAGGUGAAGUGAUUUACUCAUGGAGCUGAAAUCAGUCGAAGAUACCAGCUGGCUGCAACUGUUUAUUAAAAACACAGCACUGUGCAAACACGAAAGUGGACGUAUACGGUGUGACGCCUGCCCGGUGCCGGAAGGUUAAUUGAUGGGGUUAUCCGUAAGGAGAAGCUCUUGAUCGAAGCCCCGGUAAACGGCGGCCGUAACUAUAACGGUCCUAAGGUAGCGAAAUUCCUUGUCGGGUAAGUUCCGACCUGCACGAAUGGCGUAAUGAUGGCCAGGCUGUCUCCACCCGAGACUCAGUGAAAUUGAACUCGCUGUGAAGAUGCAGUGUACCCGCGGCAAGACGGAAAGACCCCGUGAACCUUUACUAUAGCUUGACACUGAACACUGGUCCUUGAUGUGUAGGAUAGGUGGGAGGCUUUGAAGUGUGGACGCCAGUCUGCAUGGAGCCAUCCUUGAAAUACCACCCUUUAAUGGCUGGUGUUCUAACGUAGACCCGUAAUCCGGGUUGCGGACAGUGUCUGGUGGGUAGUUUGACUGGGGCGGUCUCCUCCUAAAGAGUAACGGAGGAGCACGAAGGUUAGCUAAUCCUGGUCGGACAUCAGGAGGUUAGUGCAAAGGCAUAAGCUAGCUUGACUGCGAGAGUGACGGCUCGAGCAGGUGCGAAAGCAGGUCUUAGUGAUCCGGUGGUUCUGAAUGGAAGGGCCAUCGCUCAACGGAUAAAAGGUACUCCGGGGAUAACAGGCUGAUACCGCCCAAGAGUUCAUAUCGACGGCGGUGUUUGGCACCUCGAUGUCGGCUCAUCACAUCCUGGGGCUGAAGUAGGUCCCAAGGGUAUGGCUGUUCGCCAUUUAAAGUGGUACGCGAGCUGGGUUUAGAACGUCGUGAGACAGUUCGGUCCCUAUCUGCCGUGGGCGCUGGAGAAUUGAGGGGGGCUGCUCCUAGUACGAGAGGACCGGAGUGGACGCAUCACUGGUGUUCGGGUUGUCAUGCCAAUGGCAUUGCCCGGUAGCUAAAUGCGGAAGAGAUAAGUGCUGAAAGCAUCUAAGCACGAAACUUGCCCCGAGAUGAGUUCUCCCUGACUCCUUGAGAGUCCUGAAGGAACGUUAAAGACGAUGACG